GACGAACGCUGGCGGCGUGCUUAACACAUGCAAGUCGAACGGAAAGGCCUGCUUUCCCUUGUGGAUUGCGGGUACUCGAGUGGCGAACGGGUGAGUAACACGUGAGUGAUCUGCCCCCAACUUGGGUAUAAGCCUGGGAAACUGGGUCUAAUUCCCGAUAGGACUGCAGGGUGGUGCCUGUGGUGGAAAACGAUUUUCUAGUGGUUGGGGAUGAGCUCGCGGCCUAUCAGCUUGUUGGUGGGGUAAUGGCCUACCAAGGCGGCGACGGGUAGCCGGCCUGAGAGGGUGGACGGCCACAUUGGGACUGAGAUACGGCCCAGACUCCUACGGGAGGCAGCAGUGGGGAAUAUUGCACAAUGGGCGGAUGCCUGAUGCAGCGACGCCGCGUGGGGGAUGACGGCCUUCGGGUUGUAAACUCCUUUCGACCGCGAGGAAGCCACCUGGUUGGAAGGGUGGUGACGGUAGUGGUAGAAGAAGCACCGGCUAACUACGUG
Molecule: ribosomal RNA, 494 nt
Filed under: uncultured bacterium
Lineage: Bacteria
Description: partial 16S ribosomal RNA
Rfam family: Bacterial small subunit ribosomal RNA
Source: RNAcentral